ACAUUUUAUAUGGUGGACAUUCAAAAAGCAGCUGGAGAUACUGGCGAAUACCUCAAGUUUUACAAGAACUUUUGUAGCAAUCUGGAGGAUAUAAUCUGGAAACCGCCUCAUGAAGCAAGUAAAUCAAGGAUCUCCAAGACCAAAAGCAAAAGACGAUAGUUUCAUCCCUCCCUUCUGUUUUGAUUGAAAAGAAAAAGGAUAAAAAACAAAAAAGUAACAUGGAACACAUACUCAAAGAGGGGUUUGACAUGUGGAAACAUGGCCCAACAUAUCAAGGUUAAAUUAUAAAUAUGGUUUGCCUAGGUUUUUCUACAGCAGCGUUUUAUUUUUACUUUAAUUCUCCAAAUUCCAUACUUGAAUGAUUAUUUCCAAGUGUUAUAUUUUUUUAGGCACCAGGAAAUCAAAUUCUCCCGGGUCGACUUUCCCUUGAGAUCUUUUGUGUGAAUUGCGUUGAGGUUGGCAAACUCCAAACCAACUUCUCAACACAUGAUCCUUUAUUUUGUUAUGGUGAAAAGUUGGUUUAUAUGAAAAUGGCUUAUCAAUUGAGUGUUUA
Molecule: non-coding RNA, 553 nt
Organism: Cajanus cajan (pigeon pea)
Lineage: Eukaryota; Viridiplantae; Streptophyta; Magnoliopsida; Fabales; Fabaceae
Source: RefSeq, a predicted model, not a curated record